GCGUGCGCAGUUCCCGUAGCAAUACGGGAGUGGCAGACGGGUGAGUAACACGUGGGAACGUCCCCCUCGGUUCGGAAUAACUCAGGGAAACUUGAGCUAAUACCGGAUACGUCCGAGAGGAGAAAGAUUCAUCGCCGAGGGAUCGGCCCGCGUCUGAUUAGCUAGUUGGUGAGGUAACGGCUCACCAAGGCGACGAUCAGUAGCUGGUCUGAGAGGAUGACCAGCCACACUGGGACUGAGACACGGCCCAGACUCCUACGGGAGGCAGCAGUGGGGAAUCUUGGACAAUGGGCGCAAGCCUGAUCCAGCCAUGCCGCGUGAGUGAUGAAGGCCCUAGGGUUGUAAAGCUCUUUCGGCGGGGACGAUAAUGACGGUACCCGCAGAAGAAGCCCCGGCUAACUUCGUG
RNAcentral lists this ribosomal RNA (406 nucleotides) under uncultured bacterium. Its description in RNAcentral is "bacterial SSU rRNA". It matches the Rfam family "Bacterial small subunit ribosomal RNA", at positions 57 to 507 of the family's 1533-position model. The record is from RNAcentral.